AGUCUCGUGGGGGGUAACUCCUAGAGGAAAGUGGCGAAAGGGGCAGUAAUGUAUGGGUAACCUACCUUGAGGUCUGGGAUAGCCAUUCUAACGGAUGGGUAAUACUGGACGGCCUGAGUUGUCGGCAUCGAUGAUUUAGUAAAGGUUACGCCUCGAGAGGGGCCCAUAUGAUAUUAGCUAGUUGGUGAGGUAAUGGCUCACCAAGGCAAAGAUGUCUAGCGGGUGUGAGAGCACGACCCGCGUCAUUGGCACUGAGACACUGGCCAAACUCC
Molecule: ribosomal RNA, 272 nt
Filed under: unidentified marine bacterioplankton
Lineage: Bacteria
Also listed under: 1 other name
Description: partial 16S ribosomal RNA
Rfam family: Bacterial small subunit ribosomal RNA
Source: RNAcentral